This 1401-nucleotide ribosomal RNA is filed under the name Escherichia coli. RNAcentral describes it as "bacterial SSU rRNA". It matches the Rfam family "Bacterial small subunit ribosomal RNA". Lineage: Bacteria; Pseudomonadati; Pseudomonadota; Gammaproteobacteria; Enterobacterales; Enterobacteriaceae. The record is from RNAcentral.
UACUGGAAACGGUAGCUAAUACCGCAUAACGUCGCAAGACCAAAGAGGGGGACCUUCGGGCCUCUUGCCAUCGGAUGUGCCCAGAUGGGAUUAGCUUGUUGGUGGGGUAACGGCUCACCAAGGCGACGAUCCCUAGCUGGUCUGAGAGGAUGACCAGCCACACUGGAACUGAGACACGGUCCAGACUCCUACGGGAGGCAGCAGUGGGGAAUAUUGCACAAUGGGCGCAAGCCUGAUGCAGCCAUGCCGCGUGUAUGAAGAAGGCCUUCGGGUUGUAAAGUACUUUCAGCGGGGAGGAAGGGAGUAAAGUUAAUACCUUUGCUCAUUGACGUUACCCGCAGAAGAAGCACCGGCUAACUCCGUGCCAGCAGCCGCGGUAAUACGGAGGGUGCAAGCGUUAAUCGGAAUUACUGGGCGUAAAGCGCACGCAGGCGGUUUGUUAAGUCAGAUGUGAAAUCCCCGGGCUCAACCUGGGAACUGCAUCUGAUACUGGCAAGCUUGAGUCUCGUAGAGGGGGGUAGAAUUCCAGGUGUAGCGGUGAAAUGCGUAGAGAUCUGGAGGAAUACCGGUGGCGAAGGCGGCCCCCUGGACGAAGACUGACGCUCAGGUGCGAAAGCGUGGGGAGCAAACAGGAUUAGAUACCCUGGUAGUCCACGCCGUAAACGAUGUCGACUUGGAGGUUGUGCCCUUGAGGCGUGGCUUCCGGAGCUAACGCGUUAAGUCGACCGCCUGGGGAGUACGGCCGCAAGGUUAAAACUCAAAUGAAUUGACGGGGGCCCGCACAAGCGGUGGAGCAUGUGGUUUAAUUCGAUGCAACGCGAAGAACCUUACCUGGUCUUGACAUCCACGGAAGUUUUCAGAGAUGAGAAUGUGCCUUCGGGAACCGUGAGACAGGUGCUGCAUGGCUGUCGUCAGCUCGUGUUGUGAAAUGUUGGGUUAAGUCCCGCAACGAGCGCAACCCUUAUCCUUUGUUGCCAGCGGUCCGGCCGGGAACUCAAAGGAGACUGCCAGUGAUAAACUGGAGGAAGGUGGGGAUGACGUCAAGUCAUCAUGGCCCUUACGACCAGGGCUACACACGUGCUACAAUGGCGCAUACAAAGAGAAGCGACCUCGCGAGAGCAAGCGGACCUCAUAAAGUGCGUCGUAGUCCGGAUUGGAGUCUGCAACUCGACUCCAUGAAGUCGGAAUCGCUAGUAAUCGUGGAUCAGAAUGCCACGGUGAAUACGUUCCCGGGCCUUGUACACACCGCCCGUCACACCAUGGGAGUGGGUUGCAAAAGAAGUAGGUAGCUUAACCUUCGGGAGGGCGCUUACCACUUUGUGAUUCAUGACUGGGGUGAAGUCGUAACAAGGUAACCGUAGGGGAACCUGCGGUUGGAUCACCUCCUUACCUUAAAGAAGC